GAUGAAGAACGCAGCGAAAUGCGAUACGUAAUGUGAAUUGCAGAAUUCAGUGAAUCAUCGAGUCUUUGAACGCACAUUGCGCCCCCUGGUAUUCCGGGGGGCAUGCCUGUCCGAGCGUCAUUGCUGCCCUAAGCACGGCUUGUGUGUUGGGCCUCCGUCCUCCUCCCGGGGGACGGGCCCGAAAGGCAGCGGCGGCACCGCGUCCGGUCCUCGAGCGUAUGGGGCUUCGUCACCCGCUCUUGUAGGCCCGGCCGGCGCUUGCCGACACAUCAAUCUUUUUUCCAGGUUGACCUCGGAUCAGGUAGGGAUACCCGCUGAACUUAAGCAUAUCAAUAAGCGGAGGA
Molecule: unclassified non-coding RNA, 344 nt
Filed under: soil metagenome
Description: partial contains 5.8S ribosomal RNA, internal transcribed spacer 2, and large subunit ribosomal RNA
Rfam family: 5.8S ribosomal RNA (bases 1-120)
Source: RNAcentral